Fragaria vesca subsp. vesca is the source of this 802-nucleotide RNA transcript. RefSeq lists it as uncharacterized. NCBI's taxonomy places the organism in Eukaryota, Viridiplantae, Streptophyta, Magnoliopsida, Rosales, Rosaceae. The transcript is spliced from 2 exons. The record is from RefSeq and is a predicted model, not a curated record.
CAUCCUAACAAGGAAGAAUUCCAUGACCAUUUGCCAUGCUGCUACUUUGCCCCACCCGCAAUUGCGAAAGAGAUUGUAUUAACACUGUCGACAUCCGAUCAAACUGUCUGAAAGAUCGUUCCUUAAAUGAUCCACACUCUACGAGAACAGCUUUAGUGUGAGGAGGAGGAGAAGAAGAAGACGAUGAUGAUGAAGAUGAUGAAGAGGGUUUGUGAUCAUCAUCACAUUCUCUCUGUAUGUUUAUGAGGAUAUGUGACGGAUCCAAAGACAAAGACCUCUGCAAGCCAUUCACAAACCUCUGCUGCUUAUUACUCCCAUCAAUAGGUAAUAACACAAGUGAGACACAAUUCCUUAGCAAACCAUUUGGUUUUGGCAAUUGGACGCUAAGUAGACCCCUUAAUUCCUCAUGACUCUGGGUAGACAAGUUCGAGGUCGAAUUCGAAUUAGAACACUCGACGCUGCUGGAUUGAUCUCGAACUUCUUGAUCUGGGAUCUCUUGAUCUGCAGUCAAAUGUUCCCCAGUUUUAAUGGGCGCAGCUAUUGGUGCCCUACAAAUUGGACAGUUUGUAUGUGCCAGGAACCAUAUGUCUAUGCAUGGAUUGUGAAACACAUGUUUGCAAUUGGGGAGAAGCCUCACCAUGUCACCAUCUUCCAGCUCACCCAAGCAGAUCACACACUCACUCUGAUCUAGACCGGUUAGUCCGUCUUUUGUGGAGUAAGAGAGAAUUGGGAUAGAGCUCAAAACUUUCUCAUCCACCCCACUUUGGUUGAUGUUGGGAUUUUGUUGCGGUGAUAAGUAGGU